GUGAGGAAUAUUGGUCAAUGGGCGGAAGCCUGAACCAGCCAUGCCGCGUGCAGGAAGACGGCCCUACGGGUUGUAAACUGCUUUUCCGGGGGACGAAUAAGGGCGAUGCGUCGUCCGAUGCCGGUACCCCGGGAAUAAGGAUCGGCUAACUCCGUGCCAGCAGCCGCGGUAAUACGGAGGAUCCGAGCGUUAUCCGGAUUUACUGGGUUUAAAGGGUGCGUAGGCGGGCGCCUAAGUCAGCGGUGAAAGGCUGCGGCUCAACCGUAGGAUGGCCGUUGAUACUGGGCGCCUUGGAUUCGGUCGAGGCGGGUGGAAUGCGCGGUGUAGCGGUGAAAUGCUUAGAUAUCGCGCAGAACGCCGAUUGCGAAGGCAGCUCGCCAGGCCGAGAUUGACGCUGAGGCACGACAGCGUGGGGAUCGAACAGGAUUAGAUACCCCGGUAGUCC
Molecule: ribosomal RNA, 445 nt
Filed under: uncultured bacterium
Lineage: Bacteria
Description: bacterial SSU rRNA
Rfam family: Bacterial small subunit ribosomal RNA
Source: RNAcentral